RNAcentral lists this long non-coding RNA (6786 nucleotides) under Sus scrofa (pig). RNAcentral describes it as "lncRNA (ENSSSCG00055029040.1)". Lineage: Eukaryota; Metazoa; Chordata; Mammalia; Artiodactyla; Suidae. The record is from RNAcentral.
UUUUUUUUUUUUUUCCAACAGAAAACAUCACUACCCACCCCUCUGCACUCAUGCACACAUAGGCUUAUUUUAUAGGUAAGAACAGUUCCCAGAAAAAACAGAGCUCCAUUGAAAUCUGGGUCCCAGAACUGCCUUGAGCCGCCCAGCUCUGGCGAGUCCCGCCCCCGCCGCCGCCGGCUCUGGUCAUCUGGGGCGUCCGCCCUUCCCCGCCAGGUGCAUCCUGAUCACCCCCUCAAAGCUGGGCUGCACCAAUUGCCCGCCGGUGUCCAAUCGCAGACUUGUGGUCCCCACGCUGGGCCUGCCAGAGUCCUUGUAACAACGUCACCUCGCCUGAGCCGAGCGGUCUUCAGGACCUCUGUCCCCUGCCCGUUCUGCUGGGGUGCCAACACCCAGCAACCAGGGGCUUCCCAGCCAGGCAGCCAGGGGUAGCCCCAAGCCCCACCUGAGCCUGCCCCACUCUCGGCCCUUUGCAAAUCCGGCAGGCCCUGCCCAGGGUCUCAAUAUAAAAGGCCAAGCUGGAGACAAGGAAGCCCUCGAGUCAGCAAGGAUCACCAAUGACCGGCUCCCCACAGAGAGGCCCGCUGUGGCAGUUCCCUCCUGGAGGGGUGGCCUGGACAUCAGCAUUCUGCAGGAGCACGUGCAUUCCAGAUAGUUCCUUUUCCUCUGAAAGGAGACAGGGCAGGCGAUGCCACAGCAGUGGGGGCGGACAGGACCACGGGGAAGGGAUGAAGAAAGAGGGAAUCGGGUUAUCUGGGAGUUGGUUGCAUCCAAGGUGAUGCCAGCAGGGCCCGUCUCCACGGGGUUUCCCUUCCCAGCAGGGAUCCGCCCCACACCGAGAAAUUUCCUGAAGCACCUGCAGACCCCACUCCAGCUAACCCUCCCCACAGUAAGCCAUGGCCCCAAACGCCGAGUCACCAAGUCGUCCGGAGAAGCCAAAGUCCAUGCCAGAAUAUUCCGCCCCAAAAUGACAAGCUCAGACACAAACUCAACAUUCAUUUUAAACCUUCUCCCCCGCGAAGCCAGGUGAACAGAACUCUGAAAUAAACGGGGCGCAGGCCAGGGGGCCUUGUCUGGCUUGGCCAAGAACUUGAAGCCACCCUGUUCGUUUUCAAAGGCCAAGCCUUCCAAAACUCCUUUCUCUUGCUUGCUUUUUUGGCCCCUAAUUACAAGAGAAAGUGCUUUUGAGAAAACAGUCAAAAACCUUCACAACAACAACAAAAAAAGUUACAAGGAACUACGUCUCAAAAGCUGCUUGGAAUAAAAAUUAUAACCUUGCCCAGCACUUGAGGGAAAACAAGGAACACAGAAGACAAUGAAUGGUCAAGGCCGAAUUCAGUGUCAACUGCCUUCCUCGCCCGCCUGAUGGGUCUGACCAGGAGCAGGGCCCCCAGACACCUGAAGGGUGGUGACUUGGAGGGAAAGGAAGGGCUGGGGCCGGGGUGCUGGCCAGAGCCUAGGCAGAGGGUCUGAAGGGUCCUGUCGACCACAGGGGGGACUCUGCAUCUGCUUUCCUGGGGCACCUCUUCUUUCUCAUCUGCAGGAGUCCCACAGAAAUGCGGAGCAGAGGGAGAAAAACAAGGCAGAGCCCACCUCUCCUCUCCGGCUGCGGUCCCCAGGGGCCCUGCAGAGAGGCGCCGCCAGCGGGCUCCCGCCCUGGGACGCGGCAGCAGUGCCCACCGGCCCCCUCCCUCCGGGUGACAGGAGCCCACGCGGCCGUGGUGGCCGCCUGGGGUCCAUCGGCUGAGCAGCGCAUCCGCAACCCGGGCGGCUCGGUCGGGUCGGGCGGGUCGGGCGGGGCAGGGGAUCCGACGGGUCCCGCACCAGCUCUGGAACCUGGGAGGCCUCGCGCGCCUCCUCCAGGCAGCCCCCGAAACCGGAGCAGGGCCGACGCAGGGCCAGGACCCGGCCGGGGGGCGUCAGGUCUGGGUCCUGGGGUCUCCAGCGUCGGCGAGCAUAGCCUGCGGCCGGGCCCACGUGGGCGGGCGUCCUGGAGUCUGGGUCCGGGGUCGGACCUGCAGCAGACAGGGAUCGGGUCCAAGCAAGAUCGGGCGUCCGAGUCUUGAGCCGCGUUGAAGCAUUCCCCUGGCUGCGGAGCAGCAAGUGACUUAAGAGUACAAGAUAAUAGAGCUUUUAAAGUAAUAUUUUGAGGUAGAGAAGCCCUGGGAAGUUCAGGAUGGGGGGCAACAAAUUUUUGUUUUCUGUCUUUCUUUCAAAAGAAGGCGCAUGAGAGUAGAAAUGAACGGCUAAGAUCUUCACCCAGAGACCACAGGGUAUCAUCUGGGUAGGAUGGAUCCAAGAUCCCUGUUCUCCAGAUAAGAAUCUGCAGGAUCUUUUAAAUUGCCCUGAAAAAACCAAGCAGUAGAAGCACAAAGCAUAAACUCAAAAUCAACGGAGUUUAACCAUGGGGGGUCGGGGGGAAGUUACCGGACCAAAUAUUCCAGAAGAACAAGAAUGCCUUUUUUUUCACUGCUUGAUGCGAUUGUUUAGGGGAGAAAAAUACUUCUUCUUAGACUCACACAAAAUCCUAGUUAAGAUUCGUGUGCCCAGUUUGCGCGAGUACAUAUAUUUGGUUAGGGAACCCAAACAGUGUUUGAUUAAUAAGCUAUCGAUGUGCAUCUCUCUUGUAAGAGAACGGAUAGUAUUUACAGACUCUACGUAUUUGUUGGCCUAACGAAUAUUUCUACUACGUGCCAUUUAUCCACAACUAUUGAAGGCCCAGGGGCCAUGUGUCUAUAGUUCUACGCUCAAGACUUUUAAAAUGAUUUUUCACUUGUUUAUACAAACCCUGCAUGUUUAGAGAAGGCACAGGGUAAUCUAAAAGACUGGUAAUUUUAGGGUAAAAUGUGAAGAUAGAUAUUUAAGAUCGAAUUGAAGCAGGAAAUAGAAAGUAUAAAUCAUUCACGUAUGAGAUAGGUGGAAAAAGGAAAAUUCACCUAUAUGCCAUUAUCCGGAAAAUAAUUUUCGAUUGCCUUUCCUUCCGAAGAGCGAGCAUGUGUGUACAAUUACAUAACUUAAUAACACUUACUCUUUGUGAAAUAUUGUAAUCCAUACUCCCCAUGCUGUGACCAACUCUUGUCAACAGCACCUCAACCGCGACGCGAUAUUCUGUUAUGUUGUGUGAUGAGGUACCCCAGCAUUCCUGAUUAUUUUUACGAUGAAUUUCAGUUCUUGCCAAUGGUUCUUUGCCGUACCUAACACUCCAGCCAGUGACCUUGCCUCGGACGUGUGUGUGCAACAUGGGUUGCUGAUACCUCUCGGAUGAUGGGUAGUGAAUCUGCUGUCGAAGCCACUGUGUUAUCCGAGGGAUGAAGGCAGACAUUGGCGACGCCAUUACGGCAGCAGGAAUGAACUUAGAAAGCCUGGACUUCGCAGUCGCUUCAGAAAGCAACAUGGAAAUCCGUUUGUUGGCCUCUCCAGAGCCCUGGUCAUGUGGAACUUUUGCCUGGGACCAGCCGAGACACAUGCCUGAUUGCAACACAGCCUGUGGGAAUUGCGCCCUAGCGCUAAUAUGCUGGCCAGAGCCACUUGGCACGAAGAGGGUUGAAGUCAGGACCAGCGAGCCGAACACCUUGGAAAUAUUAUCUCGACGGCUCUGACGAAACGUUGCAUGUCUGAGGAGUCAUCUCUGGCCCAAGCGGCUUUCUUUGCCGAGAAUUCAAACCUCAGGCCUGUUUUCACCACCUCCCCCUGGGCUGCAGGCUUCCUGCGGUUCUCCACCUCCUGGGCCCUGUCCUGCCCCGGGAAGCCCCAGCCUCACUCCUCGCCGUCUCCGCCGCUUGGGCACUGCGAGAUGCUGUGGGGUGUGCCCCUCGCUGCUGGUCAGCCUGGGCUCUGCCCCCGGGCCGUGCUGGCAGUCUGUCUGGCCUACCCCGACACGGCUUCUAGAAGAACAGAGGAAGGAGGCCGGGGCCCGAGGUCUUCUCCCCAAAAGCCCGGGCCUACGCUGGGCCUGCUUAGAGGGGUGGCCGCUGGGCCCCAGGAGACCAGAAGCCCCAAGUAGACAGGAGGCUUCAGCCAUAACACGCCACAGAGCAUCCCCCAAAGGUGAAGCUAUAAGAAUCGAGAAGGCAAGAUAGGCUGGAUUAACAACCAGAUCCUACUGUUUAGCACAGGGAGCUAUAUUCACUCUUAUGAUAAGCCGUGAUGGAAAAGAUUCCUUUAAAAAGACAUACAGAAUUUUGUUAUUUAAAAAAAAAAAAAAAAAGAAUCGACAAGGCAGAGAAGAAAGCCUUAAAGGAAGGAAAUAUGUGGACGUGUGACCAGAGCUUGAGCGGGGAGGGUGCCGAACAAUUUUUCUCCCUUAUUUGCAUUUUGCUGCCUUUUCUAAAUGCUCUGCAGUGAGCGCCUAUGGCUUUCGUAUCAGAAAGGGACCACGUUACUGAUAACAGCUAAGCUAUAAGUCAAGUCGAAUUCAUUUUAAGAAUAAGAUAAAUGCCUAUGACUAUUGAUGAGUUCAACAUAAACAAUAAGAACCAUAUACUUAUUGUCAGGAAAGUUAUUCAGAUGCUAACGCUCGUUCCCGAGUCUCUAGCACUUUACCCUUUAGAGAAACACUUUCAAAGAGAAAAUGAAACCGGCCAGCCUGGCUAUGCAAAUAUUAGCUGCCGUGGUGCUAUGCCUGCAACAAACCUUGACAGAACCCUGGGAAGGACACUUUUUUUUUUCUCAUCUUAAACCUGGGAAGCUCAGGAGUGGUGGAGCGCCCCAAGAUUGGACCGGGGACUCUGAGGCGCCCCGUCCCUAUGGCAGUUUCCAGACCUCCUGCCCUCGCACCUUCCUGCAAGGGAGACGUCUUCUCCAGCGAUCCAGUGUGCUUCCCGUGUUUCCAAUUUCUUUCCCCAUUUCUGGAGGCAGUACCCAUGGCCAGGGUGGCAUUGCAAUUAGUGAAGGUUGUGUUAGGUUUGCUGGAAAACAACCGUAUUUGCACGAGAGCUGCUUGUUCCUCUCUCUCUCUCUCUCUGUUUGUGUUUGUGUGUGUGUGCUACAGAGCAGUGGCCUGGCUGAGGUGUGACAGUGCCUCAUGGAGGCAGGGGCUGUCCUUUUUUUCACAGGAUGACAUUAUAGCUGAAUGCCACACUCCUCCUGGGAAGAAAAUGCAGGCAUGGCACAGUGACUCCCACUCCUGCAAACAGUGGCGGCCCCUCGGUGGCCUGAGUUGCCUGCAAAAGGGCUCUUGACGCCGUUUGUUGCAGCAACGUGCCUUUUCCUACCUUCCUUUGUGAAUGUGGGUCGCUUCCAGCCUCUUGAUAACAACGGAUGGGAACAGAGCAUCUGCGCAUCGAAUAUAUCUGAUCUUAAGGGUCUUUCUUUUAAAGUGAGUUAAAAGGCAAACUAGCGUUGCCGUUUUCUACUCUAAAAGGCAAUUUCUAUAUUUGGAUUUUGAAGGGGGAAAAAAAUUGUACUCCAGUGUGAAAACUCAGUGGCUCUCGGAAUGCCAGGAAGAUACACCCCUCUUUGGGCUAAAAUCCUCUGAACUGGUUUAAGAAUCAAUUGGAACAAAAGGACGUGAGCUGACCAUAAAUCUUCCAUCACAUAGUUUCUGAAGGCAGCAGCAGAAUGCACACAGACUCCGCGCGGUCCGCAGGACCGGCUGGGCCCAGAUGCUGCUUGGCGAUUUUUAACGGAGAGACACCGACCUCUCACGGAACAAACAGACCUGGGCUUUUUAUAUUCCCAAGACAGCCUCCAUUUAGAUAAGGAUGCAAUGGUAAAAUAAAUAGUGACACUCGGUAAUCAACAGGUAAAAUGAAUAAACUGAAGACACCUCUCACCUCUAAGCCAAAAAAAUGGGCCGGCGCUUGGAUUUUUAAGCUGUCGGGAGAGGGACACAUUUUCCAAGGGCCCUUUUUUUUUUAAUCUCCCUUCCCCACACAGGGCAGAGCAAAUCACCCCUGCCUCCUAAAAUAAAAACGCUUGCCACUUUAAUGCAGCAAAGGAAAGCAGAGAGCAUUUUUAAAUUAAAGGGGGAGGGGGAAACGGCUAACUGUGUUUUACACCUGGGGGGAGGGGGGCCGCUACCUUUUCCACGUGUUAACAAUUUAACUGUCACAUCCCAACAAACCACUAAUGCCAUCUCUGAGACGCUAGGAUGGCAACCUAGAAGAGGCGAUUUUAAUUGCAACUCCUAAGCAGCAAUGCUGACAGAAGUCCUGCUUUCAAUCCCCAGACAGGGCUGGGACAUGACUAAUUUAUUUUAUCUUAUCCAUCUUAUCUAUGCACAGGAUUGAAAUAUUUAUAUCAGUCUGUUCACUUUAAAACAGGCAGCGCAGGCACCAGCUUCGGGGCCACUCCUUCAUUUUUCACAGUUUUGGCUUUUCAUUGUUUCCAGAAACGCACAGCCCUUACAUGGCUGCUGGGAUCUUUAAGUCACACAAAACCCGGUCCUCGAGCGGCACAAAUGCUGCCUAGCUCUGGUGAUGGUGACGGAGCUGUUCCGAUGCCUCUGUCCCCAGAGAUGCCAAUGAAAUCAUCCAGGCCUGAGCCCGGCUUCUAGAGGAAGCUGGCCAGGGUGGCUGAUGGAAACCAGAGCCUGGGAAGGAUGCUCGGGCCAGGUGGCCAGGUACGCAGCGGGCAGCAGGGGGUUAAGCGGGGAGUGGGGAGGGGUGCGAACGAGAAGCCAGGGGCCGGGGAAACCGGGCCGCAGGGCCCAGCCCGAACAGGUGCAGACACAGGGAGCUCUGUCUGCCUGCCCGCUGCUGGGCACUGUGACUAACCGCCCCACUAUUGUACCCUGAAGCCAGCCCUUUGUACCGUCCCCCUGGCGUCUGGGAGCGCGGCCCAAGAACC